UGAAGUAAGGGACCUUUACAGCCUUGAAGGAGCCCUUAGUGAAAGAAAAAACAACAACAACAGAUGCUGCAUUGGAGUACUGCUGAGUAGCACCUCAUUAUACUUCAUGAAGACUUCAAGCGGAUUGACGGGUCUAAUUCUUACCCUUGUCGACCAAUGAAGAGAGUUGUCGGACAAUGCGGACGGUCGGUACGGCAGGCGGUGCAUCAGCCAAGGUCCGAAGGUUCGGUCUAUAUAGCGCUUGGUACUCUGAGGCAAGCCUUCACGCUCUCUGUCACGAUACGCUGCAGAGAAGUUUCGGACGUCGUGCGCAGACCAUAGGGCUGGCAAGUGUGACCGACAGACACAACAAAGAACAUCGAUGUUUGCAUCCCGAGGAAGAGUCAUCUAUAUCACACUAUUGGAUCUCAAGUAUACAAAGCAGGUACGCCUAUGUACCAGCUACAGUCGUGACGACGCCAACAAAGGCAAACUGCCUACAUCACCACCACAACAUAGUACCAUACUCAAACGGCAGGGGAAUCUGUAGUCUUUGUUGGGACACAAAGGAACGACAACCGUUCAGAAGACAG
Ornithodoros turicata is the source of this 572-nucleotide long non-coding RNA. RefSeq lists it as uncharacterized. The transcript is spliced from 6 exons. The record is from RefSeq and is a predicted model, not a curated record. Lineage: Eukaryota; Metazoa; Arthropoda; Arachnida; Ixodida; Argasidae.